UAGCAGCAAAGCAAAGGAUUGGCCA
RNAcentral lists this non-coding RNA (25 nucleotides) under Mus musculus (house mouse). The record is from RNAcentral. Lineage: Eukaryota; Metazoa; Chordata; Mammalia; Rodentia; Muridae.